RNAcentral lists this ribosomal RNA (237 nucleotides) under uncultured bacterium. RNAcentral describes it as "partial 16S ribosomal RNA". It matches the Rfam family "Bacterial small subunit ribosomal RNA", at positions 100 to 334 of the family's 1533-position model. The record is from RNAcentral.
CCGGCACGGGUGAGUAACACGUAUCCAACCUGCCGUCUACUCUUGGACAGCCUUCUGAAAGGAAGAUUAAUACAAGAUGGCAUCAUGAGUCCGCAUGUUCACAUGAUUAAAGGUAUUCCGGUAGACGAUGGGGAUGCGUUCCAUCGGAUAGUAGGCGGGGUAACGGCCCACCUAGUCUUCGAUGGAUAGGGGUUCUGAGAGGAAGGUCCCCCACAUUGGAACUGAGACACGGUCCAA